UAGUUUACUAUCGCGGUGAGUCGUCGAGGAAGACGUUGGUUCGCGGGAUCGUUCCUUCGAAUUCUUCCGUAUUUUUCGCGAUUAUUACCGUUUAAAGUGAAUCUCGGGCGCGAGAAGUUACAUAUAGUGCCUCGCAAAGUGAUCAUUUGUAACGUUAACGUGUAGAAUCGUCGUUAUGACAUUAUAUAUUCGCGAUCCGAUUCUACAUCCGGGCGGUCGGUCGAAAUCACCCUCGUACUCUCCUUGAUUUUAUGGGGAGUGCGAUCGAUGAACGAUUGAUCAUCGUCAGCAUCAACCUUCUCAUAUGCCCGGAAUCGAAUGAAAACCAUCCUCUUCAUCGACGUGCAACGAAGAUAUGAUAAAUGCACACGAUCAUCGCAGGUUGUGAGUUCGAUUGCGAUUGGAGAAUAUCGUCGACGUUAGAGGAUUGCUGACCAAUCGGAGUAAAACAACUGACAGUAAAUGCUACAAGCUAUAGACAGUACUAUACUAUCGUCACAGUAUAUUAUAUGUUAUCAUCUAUACUUUUGUUCAUCACCCCAACCGGUUUUCCUAGUACGAGGUGGAACUAUCGGUCUUUGCAUGGGUACAGACUUUCCAGAUGACAAGGAAAUUGGACUCUCGAGAGGAUCAUCGUCGGAUUUAUUCUCUUCCUGCAAGUUCUGACCUGCGCGUCUACCUAAGCGAGGAUCCAUUGGACGAACUACCAGCAUAUCCUUGCCGAUAUCCCAAUGCCAUCUUUUAUGAUGAUAUGAUCUGGGAUAGAAAUCGGCGGAAGAAAUUCCAGUAGCGCGAUGUGAGCAAUGAUCCGCAGCGGCAUGUUUACAAACGCGGCGCAGGACAGCGAAAAUAUCGAUGUAGUACUGUUAUUACAAGAAAAGAAGACUGUUGACGGCUCCAGCGUCAGCACAUCGUCAGUCCGGAUAUGUAUAUUUAUAUUGUACGACAAGAUCGACCUACUCCCUUGGCAACUAGUAGACGUAGGUCAAUCGGAAAUACAUCCGUUCGAAUCCGCGUACUAAGAGACAAUUCAUCAAAGAAAAGAGACCGAUGACCGGCGUGACUACGCGAUACGUAAAAGGCUGAAACGAUCGCGACAACAUCAAAGAACGCCGGCGUUUGGAGCAUACGAUAGAACGAGAGAUGGCAGCGGGGAAAGAAAAGGGACGACGAUUCCUGAGCGGGGGAGAGAAGUUUAUUUCUGAGAAACGGCACGCCGCAAGAUCGUUUCCCGUCAAUGGCGUAGCCAUUUGUUCGCCAGUAGCGAGACGAAUUUUCGAAUUCGUCGAGGAAAAUGUUAGAAAAAGAGACAACGGUACUUCCCUUUUGUCCGUCUUCCUGGCGGUGUGUUUGUUGACGAUCUCGGGAGUCGACGUCCGCGUUUGUUUACCGCCGCAUUCCUCGCGCGCCGAAUACGAAGAGCACCGUACGGGACGUAGGGAGGCGAGAGCACUGAUGACGCGUGAUGUAAAACGGACGAUAUAGCAAAAGAACGAAGAGGCUGAAGGGUCGAGAGAAGAUCCUAAGGGGGGAAAAGAAGCAGCUUUUGUCGGAGUGUGCGAGUGGUCUCUUCAGCUUGCCGGUUGACCGAGGGCCACUGCAAGUCUUCCUGUUUUUGCUGAUGGCCAUCUUUGUUCUCGACAAAAUCCAGUUGCGGAUAUGCGUUAAUGCUCAAAGAUAACAACGACACCAGCAGCACUAGCAGCCAGGACGGGACGCUUCUCGUCAUCACCGUCGAAGUGAUAAUUUACGUAUGAAAAAAAAGGUAUGCUGCUUGGAGUAUAUCCCGGCCAGACAUCUGAACGGCUCUUUCUUGUCACGUAAAAGGCAUGUUUCCGUCUCGUUUCCGGGACACGUUCCAACGCAUUGUCCGACAUUGAUUUGCUGUUGAAAACGCAACGGAAAUUGUGAUAUCACAAAAAACAAUUCAAGAUAUCAAUAGUAUCGAGAGAUUUAUACCUUUGCCGCAAUGACCGAUGCAAACCCCAGUAUCUACGACGGUUUGAUGCGGUGUUCCGGAAUGCACUAGAUGGAUGUAGGCUUCUUUUUUGCAGGACGUUUCUGGCGAACACUCGCAGGCAUCUAUAGCCUCGAUGACACGAACACCCUGCAACGUCGACACUCUCUCCAACUUGGCGGCCCUCGCACGACAACGGGACUCCGGCGAACAUUUCUGGAAGCAGACGGACAUUAUACAUCUGUACAAAGCUGAUCCAGAAUUGCUGAUUUGAUAUGUAUAUCAAGAAAGAAAAAGAAGAGCAAGAAAAGAAAGAAAACUUUAUAUGUGAAAGAUGUGUAAAAAAAAAAGAUCUACCUGCACUGCUGGACGACUUGCAUCCCCGGGAUCGUCGGACACGUGUCGCGGGCAUAAUUUUCGGCAGUGUCCAGCAUCGAUUUGGAUAACUUCUCCGGAUAUCCCUAAACAAAAACAUUCGUGUUACAUUCAUCUCGCCUGCUGUUUAUAACGCGAGGGACAAUGAUAUACGAGAUGCUUCAUCAUACUUUGAGCGAACCAACAGUGGAGCGGCGGACAACGUGCGUUCCUGACGUCGACCGUGAAGUAGUUUUUCGAGAUAAAUAGCGCGGGUGUAGAUUUAUUUGGUGGUAUGAAAAAUUAGAGGCGAGAGAAGAGCUGCGCUAUCGCACGGAACGAGUCCUAAGAAGGGGUGGCGCUUGAAAGGAGGGACUAAAGAGAUGUCGAGGAAUCAUUUUAUACAACACAACAUUUACCGUAUCCGACGUCGAUCAUCUUUUCGUGCCGAGCGCAACAUGUGUGUUGUCGCGGUUCCUCCGAGUGGAUCUUUCCCUCACUUCCCGAUUCGCUCUCGCAGAAAGCUAAGAAACAAAAAUCACGAAGCAAUCACAAAUGAAAUCUAUUCAGAUUUUUUUAGAACGCAGAAAGAUUGAUACGCGAGAAAAGCAGGAUAGUAGAGCAGGAUAGGAGAGGAAUGAUAGAUGCUGCGACAUUACCUAAUCGUAAAUUAGCCACGCAAACUACGGCAAGGACUGCCCAUCGUCCCCUUAUGCUCUGUAUGCGCAUUUCGAGCGUAUUGUACGAAAGCGAGAUCUGCCCAGAAGAUUAUCGAUUAUGACAGCGCGCCAAAGACGAAACGCCGAUAUCGAUGAUAGAGAAUGAGAUUGUAUAUGAUGUCCGCGAAAAUCGGUCUUUCACGACAAUCUCAUCACGAACGGAUGACUAGAAACGUAUUAUGGAUCAAAGGAGAUUGACUUUCGUCUCUAUCCUUCUCUCUCUCUCUCUCUCUCUCUCCUUAUUCUCACGUGCGAGUUCAAAGGACGAUAGCCGGACGACGCGUCGGGAUCGAGGUAGAUCGAUCGUGAUUGGGUUGUGCUCUGCCCACGCGGUUUGCGAUCUGCGAGAAGACUGACUGUGACCGGCUGAGAGACGUCCGGCUCUCUCUCUAACAACGGCGGAUCUCUAUUAAUCUCGUUUGGUGAACGGGGUCCACCUCGGGGUGACGAACGGACGGAUCGUCCAUCAACUCUUGCCGGUCACCACCGCCAACCUGUUUCUAUUGGCCGUCCCGAGAACUUCAGUUUCCACUCUGGAAGGAACAAUCCACGGAAUUUGCGAGAAAGCGAGCAUUUUAUUGUGAAAACGUUACCUUUCGUAUUUUUUGUCGGUUUUUAUUUAGUAGCGUAUUGUAUUGGAAGUAGAACUCUUUGUUUUUAUCCUGAAGACGUUCAUUUUAUCAGAUAAUUAGCCGAUUCGCUGAUUAGUUUUAUAUUUAUUAGAUAUAUCCAUUUUGCAUGAAUAAGAGAAUUAGAAAUAUAAAGUUGAUACCUAUGAAAUAGAGAAUUGAUUUGUUGUUAUCCAAAGUUACGAUAUAAUUUAACAUGAAAUAGGGUUUCUUCUUUUAUUUUCUUGGAUUUUUCUAGUUGGAGCAAAAUAUCCAUGAUUUUUUAAAACAAAAAAAAUGAGAUUUUAUUUGUGGUAUCUUCUCUUCUUCUCUCUGAUAUUGCAGGAAUCCAGGAGGCAGAAGAAAAAGGAUUAAAAAAAGAAGAUUAUCCUCCAUCCUUCGUACCUCCUGCGCUUUUUGCUACACCAUCGCGGUGAAAAGGGAGGGAGAUUCGUCCGGUUGCAACAUCAUCGCCUCUGAUUACACCGGGAGAUCUCUCUCUCCUCUUCCCUCUGUCCUCCACGCUCGUUAACACACUCCAUAGCUACUGCCAAGAUCGUUGAGAGGUUCGCGAGAGAAUCAAAUCAGAAGGAUGAGAAACAUGCAUGAGUCAGACGCUAAUGAAGGAGACUGAGUGAUUUAAUAAUUUGGAUUUGUGAAACAUCUUUAUUAUCAUCUUUAUUUUAGAGACUAACGAAACGCUUUCUACAGGUACCUUUUCAUGCUGUCGCUCGACGCUCGUUUUCUGCGAUGUGAUGACGUCAUGUAAGUCGCUAGCGACGUGAAAUGUAGUUCGAUUUUUCCAACUACAAGCGAUAUUAGCGAGCGAUAAAGAUUUGAAUGGAUAUCGAAAUGUCUCGUGUUCAAACGUGUGGAUUAUGUGAAACCAUAUGUAAUGAGGACGAAGUACCCAGCCAUGAGUGUCUUCAAGGAUAUUCUAAUUUCAUUACAGAUGAUAAUUUGUACUUUUACCCUGUAUUAGACGAUGGAGAAACUAUUGUUAGAAGAAGCUUGACACAGGACGCUGAAACAAUAGCAUCUGUACCUUUUCAUGGUGAUAAUCAAGGUCAAAUAAAUAGAAUAUUUGAUCCAUUAAUAAUAAUAGAAAUUCCAAUCAAAAGAGCGCAAAGGAAAAACUGUCACUUGAGGAGGAGGAGAUGCUAAUAUUAGAAGUCCAAUGCAGAGAACCACUAUGGAAUUUUAGAUUACCUCUCAUUCAAAGAAAUUGCAGAAUUACAAGAGCUUUGUGGGAAGAAGUUUCUCAAACUUUUAAUGGGAAAUUAAGCGCAGCUGGAUGUAAAAGCAAGUUCAAGAAUUUUCACGACACUUAUAGGAGACUUGUGAACGCUGAGAAACUACCAAGUGGAUCUGCUUCCAAAAGCAACAUGAGCAAAUGGAAACAUUAUAAAAGUAUGGAAUUCCUUCGAGAUAGUUGCUUACAGAAAAGUACGAUUUCUAAUAUUAACGAUGGAGACAGCAACAGUAUUAUCGAGAAUGAUAAUGAAUUAGAUUGCCAAGAUGCGAAUAUGUUAGAAGUUACUAAUAAUGAAGAUAGUCAAGAUACGAGUAUAUUAGGAAGUAUUGAAUAAUUAUCACAGUUUAUUUUAAAAUUUUGAAAUUAGAAGAAAAUGGUUUUUAAAUUAUUUUUUUUUUCAAGAUCAUGUAAGAAAGAGAAGGCGAGCAGAGUCACAAAACAGUUACUUAGAACGUAUAGCAGACGCUUUAUGUCAACCACCUCCUGACAUUGUUCUUCCACCACCCCCUCAAGAAGACCAUAUAGAUGCGUUCUUAAAACUGUUUGGUCAUAACUUAAGAAAGUUAUCGCCAGAAAAACAAAAUGAAUGGAUGCAACGAUAUUUAAAUAUGUCUUACGAAAUGUUAAAAGAAAACCAAAGAUAUUAAUGAAAUAUUAACUUAAAUAUUAAAUUAGCUUAACAAAAAUU
This is a non-coding RNA of Nylanderia fulva, 5581 nucleotides long. The record is from RefSeq and is a predicted model, not a curated record. NCBI's taxonomy places the organism in Eukaryota, Metazoa, Arthropoda, Insecta, Hymenoptera, Formicidae.